GAGUCGCUAGCUCAGCGGUAGAGCAGUUGCCUCUUAAGCAAUUGGCCCCGGGUUCGAAUCCCGGGCGACUCA
This 72-nucleotide transfer RNA is filed under the name Candidatus Collierbacteria bacterium RIFOXYB1_FULL_49_13. Its description in RNAcentral is "tRNA-Lys". It matches the Rfam family "tRNA". Rfam says of the family: Transfer RNA (tRNA) molecules are approximately 80 nucleotides in length. Their secondary structure includes four short double-helical elements and three loops (D, anti-codon, and T loops). The record is from RNAcentral. Lineage: Bacteria; Candidatus Collieribacteriota.